Molecule: small nucleolar RNA, 98 nt
Filed under: Macleaya cordata
Lineage: Eukaryota; Viridiplantae; Streptophyta; Magnoliopsida; Ranunculales; Papaveraceae
Description: Small nucleolar RNA Z43
Rfam family: Small nucleolar RNA Z43
About the family: Z43 is a member of the C/D class of snoRNA which contain the C (UGAUGA) and D (CUGA) box motifs.
Source: Rfam by way of RNAcentral
GGACAAUGACGAUGAUAUAGUGAAAGGUCUCGUUCGUCGUAACUGGCGUAACCCGCCUUGCCGACCAUCCUAUAUAUCACCACCCAUAAACCGAGUCC